UAUGUGAUCGUCUCUCGCAUAUCAAUAAGCGGAGGAAAAGAAACUAGCAAGGAUUCCCCUAGUAACGGCGAGUGAAGCGGGAAGAGCUCAAAUUUGAAAUCUUAAAGGGUUUCCCUUUACGAAUUGUAGUUUAAAGAAGUGUUUUCUGUUGAGGUUUUGGUAAAAGUUCUUUGGAAUAGGACAUCAUAGAGGGUGAGAAUCCCGUAUUUGACCUUUACUUUCAACUUUGUGAUACACUUUCAAAGAGUCGGAUUGUUUGGGAAUGCAGUCCAAAAUGGGUGGUAAAUUUCAUCUAAAGCUAAAUAUUGGCGAGAGACCGAUAGCGAACAAGUACCGUGAGGGAAAGAUGAAAAGAACUUUGAAAAGAGAGUUAAACAGUACGUGAAAUUGUCAAAAGGGAAGCGUUUGACACCAGUGUUGUUUUUCUGAAAAUCAAUUAAAGAACUGUUUAUGCUAAGUUGUUUAGACUUUAUCAGCUAACUGUUUAGUUUUGAGCUUUUCUUUAAUGCACUUCUCAGUUAACAAGUCAACAUCAAUUUCUUUUGCUGUGAAAAAAGCUCGAGGAAGGUGGCUUGAGAUUCGUCUUAAGUGUUUAUAGCCUCUUGCCUAUGCAGUCGGAGAGAUUGAGGUCUGCAGCGUAGAUCCUUCGGGGCUAAAUGCAUUUGUGCUAAGUUAUAGCAUUUUAUAGACAACUUGUUGACUAUGAUUUGUCUUGUAGCUUACUCGCUUAUGUUAUUUUACCUACGCUUAGGAUGUUGAGUAGCGACAUACGCAC
This 775-nucleotide ribosomal RNA is filed under the name uncultured Neocallimastigales. RNAcentral describes it as "partial large subunit ribosomal RNA". It matches the Rfam family "Eukaryotic large subunit ribosomal RNA", at positions 24 to 649 of the family's 3401-position model. Lineage: Eukaryota; Fungi; Neocallimastigomycota; Neocallimastigomycetes; Neocallimastigales. The record is from RNAcentral.